Molecule: ribosomal RNA, 429 nt
Filed under: Acidobacteriota bacterium
Lineage: Bacteria; Pseudomonadati; Acidobacteriota
Description: Acidobacteria bacterium partial 16S ribosomal RNA
Rfam family: Bacterial small subunit ribosomal RNA
Source: RNAcentral
UAGGGAAUCUUCGGCAAUGGACGAAAGUCUGACCGAGCAACGCCGCGUGAGUGAAGAAGGUUUUCGGAUCGUAAAACUCUGUUGUUAGAGAAGAACGUUGCAUAGAGUGGAAAAUUAUGCAAGUGACGGUAUCUAACCAGAAAGGGACGGCUAACUACGUGCCAGCAGCCGCGGUAAUACGUAGGUCCCGAGCGUUGUCCGGAUUUAUUGGGCGUAAAGCGAGCGCAGGUGGUUUAAUAAGUCUGAUGUAAAAGGCAGUGGCUCAACCAUUGUGUGCAUUGGAAACUGUUGGACUUGAGUGCAGUAGAGGAGGGUGGAAGUCCAUGUGUAGCGGUGAAAUGCGUAGAUAUAUGGAAGAACACCGGUGGCGUAAGCGGCUCUCUGGACUGUCACUGAAACUGAGGCUCAAAAGCGUGGGUAUCAAACAGG